GAUGAACGCUAGCGGGAGGCUUAACACAUGCAAGUCGAGGGGCAGCACGAUGUAGCAAUACGUUGGUGGCGACCGGCGCACGGGUGAGUAACACGUAUGCAACCUACCCUGUACAGGGGGAUAACCCGGAGAAAUUCGGACUAAUAUCCCAUAAUGAUAUUUGAGGGCAUCCUUAGAUAUUUAAAGCUCAGGCGGUACGGGAUGGGCAUGCGGAACAUUAGCUAGUUGGGAGGGUAACGGCCUACCAAGGCAACGAUGUUUAGGGGACCUGAGAGGGUGAUCCCCCACACUGGUACUGAGACACGGACCAGACUCCUACGGGAGGCAGCAGUGAGGAAUAUUGGUCAAUGGGCGCAAGCCUGAACCAGCCAUCCCGCGUGCAGGAAGACGGCCCUAUGGGUUGUAAACUGCUUUUCCAGGGGGAGAAUUUUUCUGUCGUGACAGGAAUUGACGGUACCCUGGGAAUAAGCAUCGGCUAACUCCGUG
Molecule: ribosomal RNA, 486 nt
Filed under: uncultured organism
Description: bacterial SSU rRNA
Rfam family: Bacterial small subunit ribosomal RNA
Source: RNAcentral